RNAcentral lists this non-coding RNA (29 nucleotides) under Homo sapiens (human). The record is from RNAcentral. Lineage: Eukaryota; Metazoa; Chordata; Mammalia; Primates; Hominidae.
UAACAGUUGCUGUUGGAGGCUGUACGUGC